RNAcentral lists this ribosomal RNA (282 nucleotides) under Salmonella enterica subsp. enterica serovar Baildon str. R6-199. RNAcentral's name for it is "partial large subunit ribosomal RNA". Lineage: Bacteria; Pseudomonadati; Pseudomonadota; Gammaproteobacteria; Enterobacterales; Enterobacteriaceae. The record is from RNAcentral.
GGGGAGUCGGUGCUCCCCUUUUUUCUGUUAUUUCCGCAAUCUUACCUGUUCCACCGCAUGGUUAGCGCUCUUAGUCAUAAUAAGGCUGGCACGUUCUCGCGUGGGUAAAAUAUUUUGUUUUAAAUUCAACCAGUUAAUUUCUUUCCAAAGCGAAGCUGCUGUAUUAACAGCUUCUUCUUUAGAUAAUUUCGCAUAAUUGUGGAAAUAAGAGUCAGGAUCGGUAAACGCCCCUUCGCGGAAUUUCAGGAAGCGAUUGAUAUACCACGUCUGAAGAAGCUCUUC